Parcubacteria group bacterium is the source of this 156-nucleotide non-coding RNA. The record is from Rfam.
GAUAUGCUUAUUAUAUAUCCGCAGACAGCAGGUUGUCGUCCGUCAGCUGGCGGAGGCAUAAAUCCUGCCGAGGAAUUCGGUAAACUUAUUAUCUUAUAGAUGAUGGUUUACUAAUAGGAUUCGCUGCGGAUAGAUAUCCGCUUUAUUUUUUUGAAA